RNAcentral lists this ribosomal RNA (406 nucleotides) under uncultured bacterium. Its description in RNAcentral is "partial 16S ribosomal RNA". It matches the Rfam family "Bacterial small subunit ribosomal RNA", at positions 30 to 526 of the family's 1533-position model. The record is from RNAcentral.
AUUGAACGCUGGCGGCAGGCCUAACACAUGCAAGUCGAACGAGUGGCGGACGGGUGAGUAAUGUCUGGGAAACUGCCUGAUGGAGGGGGAUAACUACUGGAAACGGUAGCUAAUACCGCAUACCAUCAGAUGUGCCCAGAUGGGAUUAGCUUGUUGGUGGGGUAACGGCUCACCAAGGCGACGAUGCCUAGCUGGUCUGAGAGGAUUACCCGCCACACGUGAACUGGAACACGGGCCAGACUCCUACGGGAGGCAGCAGUUGGGAAUAUUUCACAAUGGGCGCAAAGCUGAUACAGCCAUGCCGCGUGUAGGAAGAAGGCCUUCGGGUUGUAAAGAAUUUGCAGCUGGGGAACGUUACCCGAAGAAGAAGCACCGGCUAACUCCCUGCCAGCAGCCGCGGUAAUAC